Molecule: ribosomal RNA, 188 nt
Filed under: uncultured Streptococcus sp.
Lineage: Bacteria; Bacillati; Bacillota; Bacilli; Lactobacillales; Streptococcaceae
Description: partial 16S ribosomal RNA
Rfam family: Bacterial small subunit ribosomal RNA
Source: RNAcentral
CCCCUUAUGACCUGGGCUACACACGUGCUACAAUGGUUGGUACAACGAGUUGCGAGUCGGUGACGGCGAAGCUAAUACUCCUUAAAGCCAAUCUCAGUUCGGAUUGUAGGCUGCAACUCGCCUACAUGAAGUCGGAAUCGCUAGUAAUCGCGGAUCCGCACGCCGCGGUGAAUACGUUCCCGGGCCUU